Molecule: ribosomal RNA, 438 nt
Filed under: Salmonella enterica subsp. enterica serovar Typhisuis
Lineage: Bacteria; Pseudomonadati; Pseudomonadota; Gammaproteobacteria; Enterobacterales; Enterobacteriaceae
Description: partial 23S ribosomal RNA
Rfam family: Bacterial large subunit ribosomal RNA
Source: RNAcentral
AAAGGCGCGCGAUACAGGGUGACAGCCCCGUACACAAAAGCGCAUGUGCUGUGAGCUCGAUGAGUAGGGCGGGACACGUGGUAUCCUGUCUGAAUAUGGGGGGACCAUCCUCCAAGGCUAAAUACUCCUGACUGACCGAUAGUGAACCAGUACCGUGAGGGAAAGGCGAAAAGAACCCCGGCGAGGGGAGUGAAAAAGAACCUGAAACCGUGUACGUACAAGCAGUGGGAGCCCCACCACUAAGCCAGUGGUGAACUCCACAUACGCAUCCUUUGCUGAGGAUACGGUUAACGGAGCGAAAGCGACGUUCAACCGCAAAAGAAGCAGAGGGGGCUUAGUGGUGGGGUGACUGCGUACCUUUUGUAUAAUGGGUCAGCGACUUAUAUUCUGUAGCAAGGUUAACCGUAUAGGGGAGCCGGAGGGAAACCGAGUCUUAAU